CUCAUGGACCAAAUUCCAUGAACCAUAUAUCAAACCUCAUGAACCAAAUCCCAUGAACCAAUAUCAAACCUCAUGGAUGAAUCAUAUAUAAAACCUCAUGGACCAAAUUCCGUGAAUCAUAUACUAAACCUCAUGGACCAAAUCCCAUAAAUCAUAUACCAAACAUCAUGGACCAAAUCCCAUGAACCAUAUAUCAAACCCCAUGGACCAAAUCGCAUGAACCAUAUACCAAACCUCAUAAACCAUACACCACAUCCUAUGAACCAAAUCUCAUACACCACAUCCCAUGAACCGAAUCUUAUACAUCCUAUACACCAAACCUCAAUGAAUCAAUACCCAAAUAUCAUGAAUCAAUACCCAAAUAUCAUGAACCAACACCCAUAUCUCAAGAACCAAUACCCAAAUCUCAUGCCCAAAGUUCAUCAUGAACCUCUUUUUGCUCUAGCUCAUAUACCUAGAGUGAAAAUUAAAUAUCGACUACCCCUCAUACAUAUACUUAGGGCUAAGUCAAUUGCCUUAGCACAUAUAACUAAGGCAAAACAUCUCCAACUCGACCGAGUUCUAAAUUAUAUACUUAGAAUUCAGUCAAAUGAUAUUCGAACUCUAACACAUAUACUUAGAGUUCAUCCGACUAACCCUAAUACAUACUCUUAGGGUCUAGUCAACCUUUUACUCUAGCACAUAUACCUAGAGUGAAAAUCAAACCAAGCUCGACUAAUCCUAACCCAUAUACUUAGGGUCUAGUCAGCCUUUUGCUCUAGCGCACCUACCUAGAGUGAAAUCCAUACCCGAUCGAGCUCUAAUACAUAUACUUAGAGCUCAAAUCCGACGAAGCCUAACAUAAUACCUCAGAGCUUAGUCAGAUCCUCACUCUAGCACAUACAACUAGA
This 890-nucleotide long non-coding RNA is filed under the name Ananas comosus (pineapple). Its description in RNAcentral is "long non-coding RNA (ACOM_LNC026664)". Lineage: Eukaryota; Viridiplantae; Streptophyta; Magnoliopsida; Poales; Bromeliaceae. The record is from RNAcentral.